UAACUAUAGACUUUUUAGUAUUUCCUGGGUUUCUUUAAUCAUUUGGGUCAAUGGAAAUGCAAUAUAUGCUAAAUAUACAGUUAUAUUUAGUCUAUUAAUAAACUAUCUUUGACAGAUUUAAUUUACAAUCGCACUGCCAAAAAUAUAAUAUUGAAUUGUACUGUAUAUCAAAAAUUUUCGUAAUGCUACGUGUGCACCUUUACAGCACGUCCUCUAGUGGAAACGAUUAUGCAUUAUUUACUGGAAUAUAGUUUAUUAUGGUUUAAAAUAAAAAUUAACAGUACGGUGCCGCCAAGUUGAUUGCUUGCUUUAAAAUGCCUGUCGAACAAAUCCAGUACUCUGACAGAUAUUCAGAUAACGUAUUUGAGUACAGGCAUGUUACUUUACCAGCUAACAUUGCAAAGCUUGUCCCGAGGAAUCAUAGUAUGACUGAAACAGAAUGGAGAAAUUUGGGGAUCCAACAGUCUACAGGUUGGAUUAAUUAUCUUCAGCACACUUCAGAACCUCAUGUGGUGUGUUUUCGGAGACCUCUUCAGCGACACGAGCCAUAAGAGGUGCUAUAUCCAUUAUCAUCACUAAUGAAACAAAAUAAAAAUAUUGGAUUAUAAGUUAUAACUUAACCUCACAUUGUAAAUUAAAUAAAUAUCUUUUUUACAGCAGUGCAUGUUUUAAACGUAUGCAAAACUUUUUUUUCUACAGAAUCUUUUGAAAUUUAAUGAAUAACAAUAAACCGUUUUAUUACUGAA
RNA transcript from Cimex lectularius (bed bug), 746 nucleotides. It is a transcript of the gene named cyclin-dependent kinases regulatory subunit 1-like, with no coding region annotated. The transcript has 3 exons. The record is from RefSeq and is a predicted model, not a curated record. Lineage: Eukaryota; Metazoa; Arthropoda; Insecta; Hemiptera; Cimicidae.